AUCCAUUUCUGUAUAUCUUGUCGAAUAUGACAGGAAAGCAUACCAAUAAAUCUUUUCUCCUCCAUUUAUCACAGGUUUUGACAAUAAGAAUGUGAGCAAAGACAGAGACACAGAGUUUAAGGAGAUGUUGCUGCUGCCCUAAACUUAUGUCACAGAAACACUCCCAUCUUGAAAUCACAGGUGCACUGUUGAUCAGGAACUGCAGUGGCUGAUGAUAUAAUCCUUGUAGGACAGAACGGAGAUUUGAAGUUUCUUUCUUCAUUUCCGGUGGCUUGCUGAUCAAGCUAGCAGGAAGUUACAGGCAAGUCAUGAUUAUAUUCAACUCAUCACAUCAAGGAACUCCAUUGUUCAAAUCCCACUGCCAUUUUGGCUUGUUGACAAUGUAACAAAUUUUCAGUAAAAUAAUUUGUG
This 411-nucleotide long non-coding RNA is filed under the name Capra hircus (goat). RNAcentral describes it as "lncRNA (ENSCHIG00000007955.1)". Lineage: Eukaryota; Metazoa; Chordata; Mammalia; Artiodactyla; Bovidae. The record is from RNAcentral.